RNAcentral lists this ribosomal RNA (793 nucleotides) under uncultured bacterium. RNAcentral describes it as "bacterial SSU rRNA". It matches the Rfam family "Bacterial small subunit ribosomal RNA", at positions 8 to 796 of the family's 1533-position model. The record is from RNAcentral.
AGAGUUUGAUCCUGGCUCAGAUUGAACGCUGGCGGCAGGCCUAACACAUGCAAGUCGAGCGGAUGAAGGGAGCUUGCUCCCUGAUUUAGCGGCGGACGGGUGAGUAAUGCCUAGGAAUCUGCCUGGUAGUGGGGGAUAACGUUCCGAAAGGAACGCUAAUACCGCAUACGUCCUACGGGAGAAAGCAGGGGACCUUCGGGCCUUGCGCUAUCAGAUGAGCCUAGGUCGGAUUAGCUAGUUGGUGAGGUAAUGGCUCACCAAGGCGACGAUCCGUAACUGGUCUGAGAGGAUGAUCAGUCACACUGGAACUGAGACACGGUCCAGACUCCUACGGGAGGCAGCAGUGGGGAAUAUUGGACAAUGGGCGAAAGCCUGAUCCAGCCAUGCCGCGUGUGUGAAGAAGGUCUUCGGAUUGUAAAGCACUUUAAGUUGGGAGGAAGGGCAGUAAGCUAAUACCUUGCUGUUUUGACGUUACCGACAGAAUAAGCACCGGCUAACUUCGUGCCAGCAGCCGCGGUAAUACGAAGGGUGCAAGCGUUAAUCGGAAUUACUGGGCGUAAAGCGCGCGUAGGUGGUUCGUUAAGUUGGAUGUGAAAGCCCCGGGCUCAACCUGGGAACUGCAUCCAAAACUGGCGAGCUAGAGUACGGUAGAGGGUGGUGGAAUUUCCUGUGUAGCGGUGAAAUGCGUAGAUAUAGGAAGGAACACCAGUGGCGAAGGCGACCACCUGGACUGAUACUGACACUGAGGUGCGAAAGCGUGGGGAGCAAACAGGAUUAGAUACCCUGGUAGUCC